UGAGAACAAUCUCGGGAAACUGAGGCUAAUUCUCGAUAGGUCAAGAUUCCUGGAAUGGGUUUUGGCUUAAAGGGGAUAACAACAUCUUGUUAUUUCGCACGAGGAUGGGACUGCGGCCGAUCAGGCUGUUGGUGGGGUAAAGGCUCACCAAACCAGUAACCGGUACGGGCUUUGAGAGAAGGAGCCCGGAGAUGGACACUGAGACAAGGGUCCAGGUCCUACGGGGCGCAGCAGGCGCGAAACCUUCGCAAUGUGCGAAAGCACGACGAGGUUAUUCCGAGUGAUUUCCGCUGAGGAAAUCUUUUCUCAGAUCUAAAAUGUCUGGGGAACAAGGGGAGGGCAAGUCUGGUGUCAGCCGCCGCGGUAAUACCAGCUCCUCGAGUGGUCAGGGCGUUUAUUGGGCCUAAAGCAUCCGUAGCCGGCUCAGUUGGUCUCCUGUUAAAUCCAACGGCUUAACCGUUGGUCUGCAGGAGAUACCGCUGGGCUAGGAGGCGGGAGAGGCGGACGGUACUCCGAGGGUAGGGGUAAAAUCCUUUGAUCCCCGGAAGACCACCAGUGGCGAAGGCGGUCCGCCAGAACGCGCUCGACGGUGAGGGAUGAAAGCUGGGGGAGCGAACCGGAUUAGAUAGGCAGCUAUAGGAAAUUAUGAUAUUUCUUAUCUGCCCUAAAUACCCGGGUAGUCCCAGCCGUAAACGAUGCGAGCUAGGUGACACAACGCCUUCGGGGCGUUGUGGUGCCGCAGGGAAGCCGUUAAGCUCGCCGCCUGGGGAGUACGGACGCAAGUCUGAAACUUAAAGGAAUUGGCGG
RNAcentral lists this ribosomal RNA (807 nucleotides) under uncultured archaeon. RNAcentral describes it as "bacterial SSU rRNA". It matches the Rfam family "Archaeal small subunit ribosomal RNA", at positions 121 to 871 of the family's 1478-position model. The record is from RNAcentral.